UAGAGCAGUGGAUUCAAGAGUUUUCAGCAGGCAGGGCUGCGUGAUGCGAUUCGGAUUCCAUAGCAACUUUGAGAGAUGGCUCUGGUUGCAGGGAGAACGAGCGAUGGUACAGAAGCAGAAGAGAAGCAGGGGCGAGUGAGAUGGGUGCAGGGACGACGGAGGAGGGGAGACUGGGAGAUACUGAGGUCGUGCUCCCAGGACCUGCCAGGGGUGAUGGGGAUGGAGGACUCCACCUAAGCUGCUGGCUUCCCACUUGCACAGGGAAUGUCUGAGAGAGCACAGCUGAAUACGUACAAGAGACCAGGUGAUCUGGUGGGAAUGUCCCUGAACUACUGGCAGGAGAUGAGAUUCAAACCAGAAAAACCAAACAGAAGGAACGAGGAGCUCUGUAUAGGCCAUCCCAUUGGCAGACACACACCCCGUGAAGACUGUUGUUGCUGUGGAGGUCAGAGAUCCCUUCCAGCCAGCUGCUGGAAUUGGGAUUCAGCAGAACUGAUUCCUGGCACUACCACGUCCUCCAUACUCUCAACAUUUUUUUUUUUUAGUUUUCAGGGAAGUCCAGUAAUAAAAAUAGUUCCUAUUUAUUGAGUACUUGCUAUGUGCCAGGGCCUAUGCUAAGUGCAUUGCACACCGUGAGUCCUCAACCCUUGAGAGGCGGGCACUGCCCCUUGUUCUGGAGCACGGCUUCUCCACAUUGCUCUUGACAAAUGGGGGAGCUGUCCUGCUCAUUGUCGGGUGUUCAGCAGCACCCCUGGCCUCCUCCCUCUAGGUACAAACCCAAAUGGAACAGCUACUCUAGACAAACUGAAGCCACAGCUUGCCUGAGGUCACAAAGCUAGCAGCUGAGCCGGCUGGGGACAUUUUUGCCCCAGGGAAGACGCUCUUAACCCCUAGGCUGCUUCUGCUGACCCAACUCUUUUGCAUAUGUGCUCUAAAUAGCUUUUGUUCACAGAGUUGAAAAGUCUAUUCUAAAAGUAACGUGAAUAUGUGCUUGCUGGAAAAUAAGUGUUAAACCACUCCUUUAAUAUUAGCAGUUUGACUGAUGUCUACAUUUUUUAGUUUUUUUGAGACGGAGUCUCUGUCACCCAGGCUGGAGUACAGUGGCACGAUUGUAGCUCACCACAGCCUCAACCUCCUGGGCUCAAGUGAUCCUCCCGCCUCAGCCUCCUAAGUAGCUGGGACUACAAGCCCACACCACCACGCUCAGCUAAUUUUUAUAAUUUUUGUAUUUCUUGUAGAGAUGGGGUUUCACCAUGUUGUCCAGAUUGGUCUCGAACUCCUGGGCUCCAGCCGUCCUUUUGCCUUGGCCUCCCAAAGUGCUGGGAUUCCAGGUGUGAGCCACCAUGUCCAGCCAUUGGCUGAUGUCCAGAUCUAUACCUGUAUACCUAUAUGCAUGCUUAGGAAAACAAAGGCAUAGUUUAAAAACCAUAAGUUGUCCUGUAAUUACUUUUGUUUUGUUUUGUUUUUUCUUAAUGUUUCUGGAGACCUCUUUUCCGUGAAUGAAGAGCUCCCUCAAAUAAAGCCCAGAUGUUACCUCCUUGGAGAAGAUUUGAUGAGCACCCAGUCUGAAAUGCCACCUCCCUGUCCCUGUCCCCCCUUACCCUGUUUUAUUGAUUCACAAUAUUCUCACUCUGAAUCGUACUAUAUUUUUAUUGUUCUUUGUUCAUUGGCUGUCAACCCCACUAAAAUAUAAUCCCCAUGAAGGCAGAGACUGUUUUGUUUUCUGCUCUAUCCCCAGAGCUAAGAACUGGUCUUAGCACAUAGUAGUUGCUCAAUAAAUAUUUGUUGCAUGAA
Long non-coding RNA from Homo sapiens (human), 1794 nucleotides. RefSeq lists it as uncharacterized. The record is from RefSeq and is a predicted model, not a curated record. The transcript has 2 exons. NCBI's taxonomy places the organism in Eukaryota, Metazoa, Chordata, Mammalia, Primates, Hominidae.